RNAcentral lists this small nucleolar RNA (107 nucleotides) under Triticum aestivum (bread wheat). RNAcentral describes it as "snoRNA snoZ118". It matches the Rfam family "Small nucleolar RNA Z118/Z121/Z120". Rfam says of the family: This family consists of several snoRNA Z118, Z121 and Z120 sequences which are members of the C/D class of snoRNA which contain the C (UGAUGA) and D (CUGA) box motifs. This family seems to be found exclusively in rice. C/D box small nucleolar RNAs are known to act as a methylation guides for 18S ribosomal RNA in plants. The record is from Rfam by way of RNAcentral. Lineage: Eukaryota; Viridiplantae; Streptophyta; Magnoliopsida; Poales; Poaceae.
UGUUUGCUGUGAAGAAUAACAAGGACGGUAUCUGAGUAAGCUGGCUCUUGAAAAAGGCCUCCUUCCUUGAUAUUCACCCUAAACUGAUCAUAUAAUCUGAGCAAACA